AGGAAAGCCUAGGCUUAAACAUUGGACGGUACAUCUAAGGAACAUAAUAGCAGUAAUACGAACAUCUCACAGGAAACAAACCGAUCUAGAAAAACCAUCUUAUUGGGAGCUCAUCUCACACUCUUUUCUUCCUCAUAGAAGAAACAAGGAAGAAAAAUUUGGAGCUAUUAACUUGUUGUAGCUAAUACAGCUGUCAGCUAGCUAGGACUUGUCGUGGAGCUUGUUGGCAAGAUUGCAAACCUUUCGGAUCUCACCCUUUGUACCUGUGAGAGGGUUGUUCUCAGAAAGGAGAGUAAUGGCUCUUGAAAAUUCCUUGAAGAAGUAGUCUUGACUCUUGGCCAUCUUCUUAACAUAAGGUCUUGUCCUCUUGUCGGUGGCUAGCUGAUGAUCAACCAUCAUCAAGCCCUUGUUGUCCAAUAUGUUCCUAUAGUAGUUGUUGUCCAGCACCAUGGGUGUGCCACGGUCAUUCCUCACAUACUGAACAGCCUUGGGGUCUGGGAUUGCAUCAGGACACUUAUGGAGCAUAUGCGGAACAUGGUCAGGGUUCAGUGCAGGGUCAACUUCUGGGUACAGACGGUGCACCAGCUUCACACAAUGAGUUCUGCCAAC
Molecule: long non-coding RNA, 609 nt
Filed under: Citrus maxima (pomelo)
Lineage: Eukaryota; Viridiplantae; Streptophyta; Magnoliopsida; Sapindales; Rutaceae
Description: long non-coding RNA (CMAX_LNC001127)
Source: RNAcentral